This 1123-nucleotide ribosomal RNA is filed under the name uncultured archaeon. Its description in RNAcentral is "bacterial SSU rRNA". The stretch from base 210 to 1123 matches the Rfam family "Archaeal small subunit ribosomal RNA", at positions 1 to 916 of the family's 1478-position model. The record is from RNAcentral.
GCACCCCAGGCCUGAACCUUUAGCUUCGCUGUAGCUUAUGGAUUGGAGGCGGAUAGCAUUUGCUCGCAGGAACAGCGUUGUCCAUGAUUCACGGCCAGUGCUAUUAAGGUGACACUAUAAGAUGUACUCAGCCUAUGCAUCAAGCGCGUUGGGAGCUCUCCCCAUAUUGGUCCGACCGUGCCAGCCGGGCCGCGAAUUGCACUAGUGAUUUCCCGGUUGAUCCUGCCAGAGGUUACUGCUAUCGAGGUUCGACUAAGCCAUGCGAGUCGAAUGUUCCUUCGGGGACAUGGCGCACUGCUCAGUAACACGUGGAUAACCUGCCCUUAGGUCUGGGAUACUCCUGGGAAACUGGGCAUAAUCCCGGAUAAGCCACAGAUGCUGGAAUGCGCUGUGGUUCAAAGCUCCGGCGCCUAAGGAUGGGUCUGCGGCCUAUCAGGGUAGUAGUGGGUGUAACGUACCUACUAGCCGACGACGGGUACGGGUUGUGAGAGCAAGAGCCCGGAGAUGGAUUCUGAGACACGAAUCCAGGCCCUACGGGGUGCAGCAGGCGCGAAAACUUUACAAUGCGGGAAACCGCGAUAAGGGAACCUCGAGUGCCAGCAUACAAUGUUGGCUGUCCAGGUGCCUAAAAAGCAUCUGUUAGCAAGGGCCGGGCAAGACCGGUGCCAGCCGCCGCGGUAACACCGGCGGCUCGAGUGGUAACCGCUAUUAUUGGGUCUAAAGGGUCUGUAGCCGGCCGAAUAAGUCCCUUGGGAAAUCUGGCAGCUUAACUGUCAGGCCUUCAGGGGAUACUGUUUGGCUUGGGACCGGGAGAGGUGAGAGGUACCUCAGGGGUAGGGGUGAAAUCUUGUAAUCCUUGAAGGGACCACCAGUGGCGAAGGCGUCUCACCAGAACGGAUCCGACGGCAAGGGACGAAAGCUAGGGGCACGAACCGGAUUAGAUACCCGGGUAGUCCUAGCCGUAAACGAUACUCGCUAGGUGUCAGCCACGGUGCGACCGUGGUUGGUGCCGUAGGGAAGCCGUGAAGCGAGAACACCUGGGAAGUACGGCCGCAAGGCUGAAACUUAAAGGAAUUGGCGGGGGAGCCCCUCAUGGUGUGGGCCUACUUUUUUCAGAUAUGGC